CUCACGAGCCCUGUGCAGCCACCCUCUUGCAUCUCGAGAUGUUCAAUAAUAUUUUUACUUCAUUAAAGUAUGAGUAUUUAUACCAUAGGAAAUUCUAUCCAACCAUUCCUUCCAGCAUCAAUCACUCCAUUUUUUUGGGAUCUAUAGCACGGCAAUCUCAAUCGUGAUUCUAGCAGAGGAAAGGACGACGCCCCCUUCACCGCGUGCUCGCCAGCGAGGGCUUGAUGGCGGUGGCCACCGACGACGAUGAAGAUGUUGAAGAGAUGCAGGGCUACCGGAUCGGAAGGAUUGGUAGUGCCUCAUGCAAGGAAGACAGACUAGUCCAGAUGGGAUCUGCAGUUGGAACACGGUCUUCUCUGGUGCAUUUGUGUUGUUCUUUGGUCUUUAGAGCAAAUCUUUAUUUUUUUUUGGCUGUAUUUGAUCUAUUUUUAGUUCUUGAAUUUUUAGCUCUCAAUUCGUCAGCACUCCUGAUGAUAUUUGGUUUGAUAGCUAGGUUAGUAGGUUGUGCACUUCUGCAAACAAUGCUGCAGUGUCCCUUCCUCCGGGGUGGGGAAGGUCACGAUCGACCGCGCUCGGCGGGCGGCAGCGACGGACUGCAGGCCCGGCGAGCCUCUCAGGUCGCCGUUGAUGGGGAUGGAGGCCUUCGACACAGCUGCAGCAUCCCCUUCGUCCAUGUUCGGCCGGCCGGCACUGUUCCCGUCCUCGGGGAAGCUCAUGGAGUCAUGGUGUCGCAAGUCGCAACUGCGUGCAGUGGCCCAUCGCCGUCGACCUUGAGACUAACAUUUGGCCUUCACUGAACUUCGCGCCGUCGUCGAUACCUCCUGCCAGGCUGCCUCAUGGCAGCGACAAGCAAGACAUCGGCAGGAGUCAAAAUGCUAGCAGUAGCUGCCGUUUAGUUUUUUUUAUGCAUUAUAUAGAUGGACCUACAGCUGCCCUGUAAAUUUGUUACUACUAGUAGCACAUUUAUGUUGUCAUAAAAAUUUACUGUACCUUUUUUUUACUAUAUACCAGCAGCGAUCUCGCUUGAUGCACA
Long non-coding RNA from Oryza sativa Japonica Group (Japanese rice), 1033 nucleotides. RefSeq lists it as uncharacterized. Lineage: Eukaryota; Viridiplantae; Streptophyta; Magnoliopsida; Poales; Poaceae. The record is from RefSeq and is a predicted model, not a curated record.